AUUGAACGCUGGCGGCAGGCCUAACACAUGCAAGUCGAACGGUAGCACAGAGAGCUUGCUCUCGGGUGACGAGUGGCGGACGGGUGAGUAAUGUCUGGGAAACUGCCCGAUGGAGGGGGAUAACUACUGGAAACGGUAGCUAAUACCGCAUAAUGUCGCAAGACCAAAGAGGGGGACCUUCGGGCCUCUUGCCAUCGGAUGUGCCCAGAUGGGAUUGGCUUGUUGGUGAGGUAAUGGCUCACCAAGGCGACGAUCCCUAGCUGGUCUGAGAGGAUGACCAGCCACACUGGAACUGAGACACGGUCCAGACUCCUACGGGAGGCAGCAGUGGGGAAUAUUGCACAAUGGGCGCAAGCCUGAUGCAGCCAUGCCGCGUGUGUGAAGAAGGCCUUCGGGUUGUAAAGCACUUUCAGCGGGGAGGAAGGCAAUGCGGUUAAUAACCGUGUUGAUUGACGUUACCCGCAGAAGAAGCACCGGCUAACUCCGUG
RNAcentral lists this ribosomal RNA (488 nucleotides) under uncultured bacterium. Its description in RNAcentral is "partial 16S ribosomal RNA". It matches the Rfam family "Bacterial small subunit ribosomal RNA", at positions 30 to 507 of the family's 1533-position model. The record is from RNAcentral.